GUCGGUAAAACUCGUGCCAGCCACCGCGGUUAUACGAGAGGCUCAAGUUGAUAGACAUCGGCGUAAAGAGUGGUUAGGAAGUCUUUUAAACUAAAGCCGAACACCCUCAGAACUGUUAUACGUACCCGAGGGAAAGAAGCCCCACUACGAAAGUGGCUUUAUAUCUCCGACCCCACGAAAGCUGCGAAACAAACUGGGAUUAGAUACCCCACUAUG
RNAcentral lists this ribosomal RNA (216 nucleotides) under Cichlidae sp. Its description in RNAcentral is "partial small subunit ribosomal RNA". It matches the Rfam family "Bacterial small subunit ribosomal RNA", at positions 492 to 794 of the family's 1533-position model. The record is from RNAcentral. Lineage: Eukaryota; Metazoa; Chordata; Actinopteri; Cichliformes; Cichlidae.